UCAGCGCUACCAUAAAGCGACGCCCGAUAGAAGCCUAGAGCGGAUCCGAGCCUGGCCCGCCUCCUGCGCGGAAUGGGCUGGGCGGUGUUAAUUGGCGGAAUAUGCAAGGAAACUGCAAGAAAUUCAGUAUAGUUGGAGUGAGAAGCUGGAGAGAUGGGGCUGAGAAAAUCAAAUAACAUGAAUGACUUCUGCCACUGGUCAAGCACAGGAACUGACAUCAAAAGCGAGUCUGUUGGGCACUGAAGCACAUGUCCUUUCUUCUCUUGCUGGGCUUCCUCAUGGCUUGUUGGUCCAAGAGCAGACAAUACCAAGAAGAUCCUAGAAGAGGCUAAGCCACAUAGGAUGCAAUUCCAAACUGAAAAGUCACUCUUUCCAGGAGAAGAGUGGGCAGUGGGCAGAGAGAAGCCAGGACCAGGAGACUAAUUCUGAUAGAGAAUGUGUUGGUGUUGCCUUUGGAAUAGGCCAAUGAAAGCAUGUGAAGAUUUUUGAGGCAUCAAUGAAAAGAGCUUGGAUCCCUAAUUUUGGGCAUGGACAGAAAGGGAACUCUACCACACACCUUUGUCUACUUGUUUUCCUCUAACACCACACAUUCAAAUAUAGAUGUCUAGUGUCCAGCCAGGACCUGAAUGGGGACCAUCAUUAUAAAUAUUCUUUAUUCUAACCCUAGCAUCUAGCCCAGUACCAAGAAAUGGUGAAUCAAUAGUAUAUGAUAAAUCAGUACAUUAAUUUAAACAUCAAAGACAUUAUGUGUUCACUUUGGUUGGACUCCUGUUUCUUAGAUAUUCCUAGGGCAAUCCUGAAUGGCAAGAGCAGAGGCAAUAGAGGAAAGCAAAGGACCACAGGGUUUUGUCACUUCAACCAUUAAAAUGAGAGAGAUGCAAGCCAUAGUGAGAAAAAGAGCUAUUCUAAAAUACAACUGGCUCUCAUACAAGAGAGUGAGCUGUGGGCAGGGUAGAAGGGAAGUGGAGGUGGAGGCAGGGUGGCAUCAAGCAGAAGCUGCAUGACCAUGAGUUGCAUUGAGGACAGUGCAGUACAGGGAUGCCUGCACAGAGUCAGAGCUGGACUGUAUCACCAUCCCCACCCCUGGCUGAAGCAGAAUUAACUGUGGAUGAGAUUUUCUAAAAAAAAAAAAAAAAAAAAAAAAAAAAAAAACUCAUUCCUAGGCCCUCUACUUAGAAAUUUUGAUUUUUUUUUGAAGAAAAAAAAUAGUUUUUUCUUAUUAUUUUGAGAGAGAGAAAGUGUGAGUCAGGGAGGGACAAAGAGAGAGGGAGGGAGGGAGAAUCCCAAGCAGGCUCUGUGCUGUCAGCGCUCUAUCUCACCAACCCUGAGAUCAUGACCCGAGCUAAAGUCCAACGCUUAACCAACUGAGCCACCCAGAUGCCCCAGAAACUUUGAUUUAAUACAUUUGAAUUGUAUCUAAACAUCUUUGAGUUUUAAUUAACAUACAAAAAAUGCACCCAUUAAAGUGCAAAGGUUGAUAAGUUUUAACAUACAUGCAUGCACAUACCUAUCAUAAUCAAGACAGAACAUUUUCAUAACUACCAAAAUUUCCCUUAGAUUCUUUGUGGUCAGUUGUUCCCUUCCCAGUUCCAGGCCUCCAGUGAUCUGCUUUUUGUCACUACAAAUGAGUUUGCCUGGUCUAGAUUUGAUAUGUGGCAUCUAUAGGCUGAACUGUUUUUUUUUUUUUUUUUAAAUGUUUAUUUUUUCGAAAGAAAGAGGGAGAGACAGAGUGCAAGUGGGGCAGGGGCAGAGAGAGAGAGAGAGGGAGUCACAGAAUCUGAAGCAGGCUCCAGGCUCUGAGCUGUCAGCACAGAGCCUGACACAGGGCUCGAACCCACGAGAGAUCAUGCCCUGAGCCGAAGUCAGAUGCUCAACCGACUGAGCUACCCAAGUGCCUCUAUAGUAUGAACUCUUAUGUGUCUGGCGUCUUUCCUUCAGCACAAUGUUUUUGAGGUUCAUUCAUAUUUCCAGGUGUAUCAGUAGUUUGUUCUUUUUUUUGCUGUGUAAUAUUCUAUUACAUAGAUAUUCCACAAUUUAUUUAUGCAUUAAUUCAUUGAUAGGUAUAUGUGUUGUUUUGAAUUUUUGCCUGUGAUGAAUAAUAUUGCCAUUAACAUUUCUAUGCAUGUCUUUGUGUGGACCUUUUCAUUUCACUUGGUGAAAAACCUGGGAGUAGAAUUAUUACAUUGUAUAGUAAUAUCUAUAUAGCUUUAAAAAACUAUAAGAUUGUUUCCCAAAGUAGUUGUAUCAGUUACAAUUCCUGCCAAUAAUAUGUGGCAAUUCCAGUUGCUCUACAUUCUUGCCAAUACAUAGCCUUGUCAUUCUUUCUAAUUUUAUCUAUUUAAUUAAGUAUGUAGUAGAAUCUUAUUGUGGUUUUAAUUUUUGUUUUUCUUAUGACUAAUUAUGUUGAACAUCUUUUUGUGUGCCUGUUAGCCAUUUGCAUAUCCAUUUUUCUGAUGUGUCUUUCAAUCUUUUGCCCAUUUUUUAUUGAAUUGUCUUCUUGUUAAGUUUUAAAAGUCCUUCGUAUGUUCUGGGUACAAAUCCUUUGUCAGAUGUAAGUAUUAGAAAAUUUUAUCCCUGCCACUGUCUUCCCUUUAAAAUUUUCUUAAUAGUGUUUAUUAUAGGCUGAAUCAAAUACACCGAAAAUUUAUAUGUUGAAGUGUACUCCAAGUGCCUCAGAAUGUGACAAUAUUUAGAGAUAGGGUCUUUAAAGAAGCGAUUAAAUUAAAAUGCAACAAUUAGGGUAGAUCCUAUUCCAAUUUGACUGGUGUCUGUACAAAAAGAGGAAAUUUGGACAUACAUGGAGACACCUAGAAGGCACGGAUACAGAGGGAAGACCAUGUGAGGACACAGCAAGAAGGCAGCCAUCUGCAAGCCAAGGAGAGAGGUCUCAGAAGAAAUCAAAACUACUGACACCUUGAUCUUGGCCUUCUAGCCUCGAGAACUGUGGGAAAUAAACUUCUGUUUUUUAAGCCACCCGGUCUGUGGUAUUUUGUUAUGGCAGUCAUAGCAAACUAACAUAAUAUCUUUCAAAGAAUAAAUGUUUUCAAUUUUGAUGAA
Leopardus geoffroyi (Geoffroy's cat) is the source of this 3057-nucleotide long non-coding RNA. RefSeq lists it as uncharacterized. The record is from RefSeq and is a predicted model, not a curated record. NCBI's taxonomy places the organism in Eukaryota, Metazoa, Chordata, Mammalia, Carnivora, Felidae. The transcript has 5 exons.